Long non-coding RNA from Maniola jurtina (meadow brown), 105 nucleotides. RefSeq lists it as uncharacterized. The record is from RefSeq and is a predicted model, not a curated record. The transcript is spliced from 3 exons. Lineage: Eukaryota; Metazoa; Arthropoda; Insecta; Lepidoptera; Nymphalidae.
AACCACUAUCCAAUAAUAUCCUCAUAGUAAAACGUUCUCCUUUGUUAUUAAAAACGUAAACAACUGCAGUAGGUAGCAAGAUAAAAAAGUCCCAUUUUACGAAAG